This 874-nucleotide ribosomal RNA is filed under the name uncultured bacterium. Its description in RNAcentral is "bacterial SSU rRNA". It matches the Rfam family "Bacterial small subunit ribosomal RNA", at positions 28 to 896 of the family's 1533-position model. The record is from RNAcentral.
AACGAACGCUGACGGUGUGCCUCAUACAUGCAAGUCGAGCGGGCGUAGCAAUACGUCAGCGGCGGACGGGUGAGUAACACGUGAACAAUCUGCCCUCGAAUUUGGGAUAACAGCUCCAACGAGCUGCUAAUACCGGAUAGGUUAGUCUGAUCGCCUGGUUGGACUAAGAAAGUUGCAAUUGCAACGUUCGAGGAUGAGUUCGCGGCCCAUUAGCUAGUUGGCGGGGUAAAGGCCCACCAAGGCGACGAUGGGUAGCCGGCCUGAGAGGGUGAUCGGCCACAUUGGGACUGAGAUACGGCCCAGACUCCUACGGGAGGCAGCAGUAGGGAAUUUUGCGCAAUGGACGAAAGUCUGACGCAGCAACACCGUGUGAGGGAUGAAGCAUUUCGGUGUGUAAACCUCUGUCGAUGGUGAAUAAAGCAUUCGGGAGUGGAAAGCCCGGGUGUUGAAUGUAGCCAUGAAGGAAGCACCGACUAACUCUGUGCCAGCAGCCGCGGUAAUACAGGGGGUGCAAGCGUUGUUCGGAAUCACUGGGCGUAAAGGGAGCGUAGGCGGAACCAUAAGUCAGAGGUCAAAUCUCCGGGCUCAACCCGGAACUUGCCUUUGAGACUGUGGUUCUUGAGUAUGGUAGAGGUUAGUGGAAUUUCCGGUGUAGCGGUGGAAUGCGUAGAGAUCGGAAAGAACACCAUAGGCGAAGGCGACUAACUGGACCAAUACUGACGCUGAGGCUCGAAAGCGUGGGGAGCAAACAGGAUUAGAUACCCUGGUAGUCCACGCUGUAAACGAUGAACACUAGAUGUCGGGGAGGGGUUCCUUCCCGGUGUCGUCGCUAACGCAGUAAGUGUUCCGCCUGGGGAGUACGCUCGCAAGGGUG